AUGCAAGUAGCACUAGCAGUACUAAUGUAUGCUCUUCUCCAAACAAAUAGUAAUUUUUAUACACAAAGCCGUGUUUGCUUUUUCACCACACCUUUUGGUCCUUAUCUCUCCAUCUUAUCUACUAGAAGUAACCACCACCACACAUUUAUUCCUUGUUCUAUCAACUCCCUGCCACUUUCUCUACUCAAUAAUACGAUAGCUAGCAAAAUGGAUGCAGCAACCAUAGCUACAAAAGUUCAGGUUCAGGAGCGCUGUGGGAAUGACUGCUUCGGGAAAUGGCUCAACCUCGCUCUUCCUCCGCUGACCUCAUGA
Molecule: ribosomal RNA, 312 nt
Filed under: Triticum aestivum (bread wheat)
Lineage: Eukaryota; Viridiplantae; Streptophyta; Magnoliopsida; Poales; Poaceae
Description: partial small subunit ribosomal RNA
Source: RNAcentral